RNAcentral lists this ribosomal RNA (468 nucleotides) under uncultured bacterium. Its description in RNAcentral is "partial 16S ribosomal RNA". It matches the Rfam family "Bacterial small subunit ribosomal RNA", at positions 28 to 507 of the family's 1533-position model. The record is from RNAcentral.
GACGAACGCUGGCGGCGUGCUUAACACAUGCAAGUCGAACGGAAAGGUCCUGCUUUUGUGGGGUGCUCGAGUGGCGAACGGGUGAUUAACACGUGAGUAACCUGCCCUUUACUUUGGCAUAACUUCAGGAAACUGGAUCUAAUACCUGAUAGGAUCUCCUGCUCCAGGGUGGGGGUGGGAAAGUUUCGGCGGUUGGUGAUGGACUGGCGGCUUAUAAGCUUGUUGAUUGGGUGGUGGAUUACCAAGGCCUUGAGCGGUGGCCGGCCUGCGAGGGUAACAGGACACAUUGGGACUGGACUACGGCACAGCCUAGUACGGGAGGCAGCAGAGGAGUAGAUAGUACAAUGGGCGGAAGGAUGAUGCAGCACAGCAGCGCGGGGGAUGACGGCCAGCGGGUUGUAAACCACAUUCGCCUGUCACGAAGCGUGAGUGACGGUAAUGGGUAAAGAAGCACCGGCUAACUCCGUG